CCAAUAGCGUAUAUUAAAGUUGUUGCAGUUAAAAAGCUCGUAGUUGAAUUUCGGGAUUCAUCCGUUGGUCGGGCUUCACGGUCCGUACUGGUGUGAUGGGUUCCUACCUUCUGAAUAACCGGCAUGCCAUUAAUUUGGUGCGCCGGGGAAGCAGAACUAUUACCUUGAAAAAAUUAGAGUGCUUAAAGCAGGCAAGUGCCUGAAUAGGUUAGCAUGGAAUAAUAAAAUAGGACGGCAUGGUUCUAUUUUGUUGGUUUCUAGGAUCACCGUAAUGAUUAAUAGGGAUAGUUGGGGGCAGUAGUAUUCAAUUGUCAGAGGUGAAAUUCUUGGAUUUAUUGAAGACUAACUUCUGCGAAAGCAUUUGCCAAGGAUGUUUUCAUUAAUCAAGAACGAAAGUUAGGGGAUCGAAGACGAUCAGAUACCGUCGUAGUCUUAACCAUAAACUAUGCCGACUAGGGAUCGGACGAUGUUAAUUUUUUAAUGACUCGUUCGGCGCCUUACG
This 502-nucleotide ribosomal RNA is filed under the name uncultured Acaulospora. RNAcentral describes it as "SSU rRNA". It matches the Rfam family "Eukaryotic small subunit ribosomal RNA", at positions 591 to 1092 of the family's 1831-position model. The record is from RNAcentral. Lineage: Eukaryota; Fungi; Glomeromycota; Glomeromycetes; Diversisporales; Acaulosporaceae.